AUGGAAGGUUUAUCUUUCUCCAUCCAGAGAAGUGAGUUACCAGUGCAGAUCGACAUGGAUUCUAUAAUUGCAGUGAAAUUGAUCCAGGCUUCAGAGGUUGACAGAUCGGUAUAUUCGUCUAUCAUCAAGGAGAUUAGAUAUCUUAUGUCUCUACGUGAAAAUUGUAUUACUCAUGUAAGUCGUAGCCAAAAUAAAGUUAGUGAUAGCUUAGCUAAAUUUGCUCGUAGUGAGGGUAGAACCAUGACUUGGCUAGGUUCUGGUCCUCCUGAGGCUUUGGAACUAGCUGCGAUUGAUUGUAAGGACUUUGGUGGAUGA
Molecule: ribosomal RNA, 315 nt
Filed under: Triticum aestivum (bread wheat)
Lineage: Eukaryota; Viridiplantae; Streptophyta; Magnoliopsida; Poales; Poaceae
Description: partial small subunit ribosomal RNA
Source: RNAcentral